AGAGUUUGAUCCUGGCUCAGGAUGAACGCUAGCGGCAGGCUUAACACAUGCAAGUCGAGGGGUAUUUGUCUUCGGAUAGAGAGACCGGCGCACGGGUGCGUAACGCGUAUGCAAUCUACCUUUUACAGAGGGAUAGCCCAGAGAAAUUUGGAUUAAUACCUCAUAGUAUAGCGACAUCGCAUGAUGAUGCUAUUAAAGUUACAACGGUAAAAGAUGAGCAUGCGUCCCAUUAGCUAGUUGGUAAGGUAACGGCUUACCAAGGCUACGAUGGGUAGGGGUCCUGAGAGGGAGAUCCCCCACACUGGUACUGAGACACGGACCAGACUCCUACGGGAGGCAGCAGUGAGGAAUAUUGGACAAUGGGCGCAAGCCUGAUCCAGCCAUGCCGCGUGCAGGAUGACGGUCCUAUGGAUUGUAAACUGCUUUUGCACAGGAAGAAACAACUCUACGUGUAGAGUCUUGACGGUACUGUGAGAAUAAGGAUCGGCUAACUCCGUGCCAGCAGCCGCGGUAAUACGGAGGAUCCAAGCGUUAUCCGGAAUCAUUGGGUUUAAAGGGUCCGUAGGCGGUUUAGUAAGUCAGUGGUGAAAGCCCAUCGCUCAACGGUGGAACGGCCAUUGAUACUGCUAAACUUGAAUUAUUAGGAAGUAACUAGAAUAUGUAGUGUAGCGGUGAAAUGCUUAGAGAUUACAUGGAAUACCAAUUGCGAAGGCAGGGUACUACUAAUUGAUUGACGCUGAUGGACGAAAGCGUGGGUAGCGAACAGGAUUAGAUACCCUGGUAGUCCACGCCGUAAACGAUGGAUACUAGCUGUUGGGAGCAAUUUCAGUGGCUAAGCGAAAGUGAUAAGUAUCCCACCUGGGGAGUACGUUCGCAAGAAUGAAACUCAAAGGAAUUGACGGGGGCCCGCACAAGCGGUGGAGCAUGUGGUUUAAUUCGAUGAUACGCGAGGAACCUUACCAAGGCUUAAAUGUAGAUUGACCGGUUUGGAAACAGACUUUUCGCAAGACAAUUUACAAGGUGCUGCAUGGUUGUCGUCAGCUCGUGCCGUGAGGUGUCAGGUUAAGUCCUAUAACGAGCGCAACCCCUGUUGUUAGUUGCCAGCGAGUCAUGUCGGGAACUCUAACGAGACUGCCAGUGCAAACUGUGAGGAAGGUGGGGAUGACGUCAAAUCAUCACGGCCCUUACGCCUUGGGCUACACACGUGCUACAAUGGCCGGUACAGAGAGCAGCCACUGGGCGACCAGGAGCGAAUCUAUAAAACCGGUCACAGUUCGGAUCGGAGUCUGCAACUCGACUCCGUGAAGCUGGAAUCGCUAGUAAUCGGAUAUCAGCCAUGAUCCGGUGAAUACGUUCCCGGGCCUUGUACACACCGCCCGUCAAGCCAUGGAAGCUGGGGGUGCCUGAAGUCGGUGACCGCAAGGAGCUGCCUAGGGUAAAACUGGUAACUAGGGCUAAGUCGUAACAAGGUA
This 1472-nucleotide ribosomal RNA is filed under the name metagenome. Its description in RNAcentral is "bacterial SSU rRNA". It matches the Rfam family "Bacterial small subunit ribosomal RNA". The record is from RNAcentral.